Molecule: long non-coding RNA, 1105 nt
Organism: Astatotilapia calliptera (eastern happy)
Lineage: Eukaryota; Metazoa; Chordata; Actinopteri; Cichliformes; Cichlidae
Source: Ensembl
GGAAAAAGUAAACAAAGCUGGGGCAUAGAAGCAGAACCGAGUCGUAUGUGUGGAGGGACAGUAACUGUGUGUAUAUGUAAGCAUUUAAACACUGCAGAGAGUAGAAUUAACAGUAACAGUAUUGUAGAAAUUCAUUUCACCGAAACAAUAACGUGGCGCACAGUGUGACGCAUGCACCAGUUUAUUGUAUUUCCAGACUUGCUUUCGGCACAAUUUACAGUGCACGCUACUCUGUUUUUUGUCAGACUUGAAAUAGCCGAAAUACCUUCACACUAUGAAACUUCUAUGGCUCUUCCGUUCGACAAUCUCUCCGGCAUUGGAACCAUCAUCUGUUUUCUCUUCGGUAACCUUCGGUCACGCUCGGUUGAUUUUUCUAGUCGGCACACUCAUUUCCUCCAUUACCCGGGCAGUACGGUGGCUGGCUGCUUCCCAAACAAAUACACAUGUGCGGCUUGGCACUUGUGCUGUACGUAACAAGUCACGCGACGUGACGCUGCGGCUGUGAUUGGUUCGGCUCUGCGCUACUUAAUUUGGAUUGGCUUUUUUUUUUUUUUUUUUUUUAAGAGGACAAGAGCGGCGAGGUCUAUCGCGAUAGUUUAAUUUCUCUAUCGAGUAAAAGUUAUAUCGCGAUACAUAUCGUUAUCGUUCUAUCGCCCAGCUCUAUUGUAGGUAUAAGGAUAGAACCUCUAAAGGGAGCAAAUGAAAGAAGAAGAAAACUUUGAGAGGCAUUUUUUGCGAUGGUACUUUUAUGUGGUCUUUCAGGCUUUUUGGGGUUCCUGAUCUGCCCACUGCACGUCUUCUUUUUAAGGAUGUAACAGACUGUGGAUUUGGCUACGCCUAAAAUUUUUGCUCUGUUUGAUUAUUUUUUUGUUUCUUCGAACUAACAAUGUCCUCCUUCACUUCCUUGGACCUCAUAUUGGGAAUUCCAGUGCAAAAAUGGCAAAUACAAGUCCAACACUUGGAAUCAACUACCGUAAUUGUCGGGCUAUAAGCCGCUACUUUUUGCACAAGCUUUGAACCCUGCGGCUUUUAGUCAGGUGCGGCUUUUCAAUGGAUUGUCCAUGAGCGGAUUUGUUUUGUUUGUUCCGCUGUUGUACGGCACUAC